Molecule: long non-coding RNA, 252 nt
Filed under: Vitis vinifera (wine grape)
Lineage: Eukaryota; Viridiplantae; Streptophyta; Magnoliopsida; Vitales; Vitaceae
Description: long non-coding RNA (VVIN_LNC004433)
Source: RNAcentral
UCGGGUUCUGGGGGUGGGGCCUGUACAGCACUUUCACCUCUCUCUCUACGAAACUUGGGCACAUAUUUUCCAGACGCUGGUGCGGCAGCAGCAGCAGCUGCAGCUGGAGCAGCAGAUCCAGGCUCCAGCGGGCGACCUCCAGUAGGGGGCUCAGAAGGUUUGGGAGGCACCUCAGUUGGCCUACCCAAGAGAGCUUCUCUCCUAAGCUUUUCUUUUUCUUCCAGUUCCCGUUCUCUUUGCCUCUGCUUCUCA